GCUGGGUGUGGUAGUGCAUGCCUGUAAUCCCAGCAACUUGGGAGGCUUAGAUCGGAGGAUUACAAGUAAGAUCAGCCUUAGC
This 82-nucleotide small RNA is filed under the name Marmota monax (woodchuck). Lineage: Eukaryota; Metazoa; Chordata; Mammalia; Rodentia; Sciuridae. The record is from RNAcentral.